This 898-nucleotide long non-coding RNA is filed under the name Chloebia gouldiae (Gouldian finch). RNAcentral's name for it is "Erythrura gouldiae (Gouldian finch) lncRNA (ENSEGOG00005017331.1)". The record is from RNAcentral. Lineage: Eukaryota; Metazoa; Chordata; Aves; Passeriformes; Passeridae.
CUCUCACUUGCGGCUGUGGAAAGGGCGGAAAACACCCCAAAACCGCCCCCUUCCCACCAAAAACCGACCUCCCCAAAAAAUGAAAAGAAAUCGACUCUUACUUCUCUGCAUUCCCCAGCUCUGGGGAUUCUCUCCUCAAAUCCCUGCCGGACUCUCCUGAGCGCGUUUUGAGUGCAGACUGGCCUUUUUUGGUUAAAUCCUCUCUUUUUUUUUCCCUUUCCUCGGCUUUUUUCUCACUUUUUUUGCCUUUUUUCCCUGCGUUUUGCUGCUUCCCUGAAGGGGAAAAACACUCGAGACACCCCCUCCCCCUUUCCCCACCCCCCACCCAAAAAAAAAUAUACAAAACAUUUCUUUGAUCAUUUCUCUCCCUUUUUUUUGAUCACCGGCCCCUCCCGCACGACGCCUUUGGGAUAAAAAAAAAAGAAUUUGGACACUUACUGAGCGGCGCCGGCGGGAGCGGCGGAGCCGGAGGGCGCUGGAGGGAUUUGGGGGGUUUUCCCCAUUUCUGGGGAGUUUAAUAGAAAAAGGGGGAAGGGGGAGGGGCGACGGCGGCGGCGCCUGAAACGACAGAACCCCAAAACCCCCCAAAUCCCCCCAAAAUUCCCAAACCCCCGGGGGGGGGGGUGGGGCCUCACCCGGCCGCUGCCUCCGGCUCCUUUCGGGGCAUUUUCCUCAAAUUCCUCAAUUUUCCUGGCUCCGGGACCCAAAUCGGGAUUUUUCUUCCUUUUUCUCCCUUUAUCCUUCUUUUUUUCAUUAAUUUUCGCUUCUAUUUUCUCCUCUAAAUCCUCUUUGAUUUUCUCUCAUUUUUCCUCUCUUCUAUUCUCUUCUAUUUUCUCUCUUCUGUUUUUUCCCUGUUUUCUUUCACUUCCAUCUUCUCAAAUUUUCAGCACUUGGAUUU